UUAAAAAUCUACCUGACCCCUAUAUCUUUGAGAAAAUGAUUGAACCAUUGGUCAAUAACCAAUGUUCUCAAAAUAGAUAGGCGAAUGGCCUUCUAUUAUAGAAAAUCGUGAUUGCUAAGAAGAAACUUAAACUCAGUAUGAAUUCUAACCCUUCACUAGCUGGUCCAUUGGUCUCGAUUGCGUAGAUCAAUUUCACAGCCACUUU
RNAcentral lists this long non-coding RNA (205 nucleotides) under Capsicum annuum. RNAcentral's name for it is "long non-coding RNA (CANN_LNC006543)". The record is from RNAcentral. Lineage: Eukaryota; Viridiplantae; Streptophyta; Magnoliopsida; Solanales; Solanaceae.